AACGAACGCUGGCGGCAUGCCUAACACAUGCAAGUCGAACGGGAACUUCGUGCCUAGUGGCGCACGGGGGCGUAACGCGGGGGAACCUGCCCUUAGGUUCGGAAUAACUCCCCGUAAGGGGUGCUAAUACAGGAGAAUGUCUUCGGACCAAAGAUGUAUCGCCUUUGGUUGGGCCCGAGUUGGUUUAGCUAGUUGGGAGGGCAAAAGCCGACCAAGGCGACGAUGCAUAGCUGGUCUGUGAGGAUGCUCAGCCACACUGGGAGUGAGACACGGCCCAGACUCCUGGGAGAGGGAGCAGAGGGUAAUCUAGGACAAGGGGCGAAAUGCAGAUACAGCACGGGCGGGAGAGCGAUGAAGGCCUUAGAGUUGUAAAGCGCUUUUACCCGGGAUGAUAAUGACAGUACCGGGAGAAUAAGCUCCGGCUAACUCCGUG
RNAcentral lists this ribosomal RNA (433 nucleotides) under uncultured bacterium. RNAcentral's name for it is "partial 16S ribosomal RNA". It matches the Rfam family "Bacterial small subunit ribosomal RNA", at positions 29 to 507 of the family's 1533-position model. The record is from RNAcentral.